RNAcentral lists this ribosomal RNA (270 nucleotides) under uncultured bacterium. RNAcentral describes it as "partial 16S ribosomal RNA". It matches the Rfam family "Bacterial small subunit ribosomal RNA", at positions 85 to 354 of the family's 1533-position model. The record is from RNAcentral.
CCGCCGGCGACCGGCGCACGGAUGAGUAACACGUAUGCAACCUGCCCCUGUCAGGGGGACAACCCGCCGAAAGGCGGGCUAAACCCGCGUACAUGCCACCGGGGCAUCCCGGAGGCAGGAAAGGCUUCGGCCGGACAGGGAUGGGCAUGCGGCGCAUUAGGCAGUAGGCGGGGUAACGGCCCACCUAACCGACGAUGCGUAGGGGUUCUGAGAGGAAGGUCCCCCACACUGGUACUGAGACACGGACCAGACUCCUACGGAAGGCAGCAG